UGGCUAUCAAGAUGUAGAGCAAUCAGAUAGUGCUCUUUUAUGUGCCGUUGCUCAGCAACCUGUUAGUGUGGGAAUUGAUGGUUCCGCCAUUGAUUUUCAACUUUACACUGGUGUAAGUAUUUGUUUGGAACCUGGAAACUUUUUGUUUAAAACGAAAUUUUUGGGGUAAUGAAAUUCGUAUGGCAUGAUGCAUGAAUAGGGAAUUUAUGAUGGGAGCUGCUCGGAUGAUCCAGAUGACAUUGAUCAUGCUGUUUUAAUAGUUGGUUAUGGUUCAGAAGACAGUGAAGAGUAUUGGAUAGUGAAGAAUUCAUGGGGAACAAGUUGGGGGAUAGAUGGAUAUUUCUAUCUAAAAAGAGACACUGAUUUACCAUAUGGUGUUUGUGCUGUCAAUGCCAUGGCUUCUUAUCCAACUAAACAAUCCUCUUCACCAUCCCCUUAUCCAUCGCCAAGUGUUCCUCCACCGCCACCUCCUUCAACUCCACCACCACCACCACCUCCAUCUCCUUCACCAAGUGAUUGUGGAGACUUUUCCUAUUGUUCAAGUGAUGAGACAUGCUGUUGCCUUUUUGAAUUCUAUGAUUAUUGCCUAAUAUACGGCUGCUGUGAAUAUGAAAAUGCUGUUUGCUGUACUGGAACUGAAUACUGCUGCCCUAGUGAUUACCCCAUUUGUGAUGUCCAAGAAGGACUCUGC
Molecule: long non-coding RNA, 691 nt
Filed under: Gossypium barbadense (sea-island cotton)
Lineage: Eukaryota; Viridiplantae; Streptophyta; Magnoliopsida; Malvales; Malvaceae
Description: long non-coding RNA (GBAR_LNC017243)
Source: RNAcentral